RNAcentral lists this unclassified non-coding RNA (216 nucleotides) under Stagonosporopsis sp. Its description in RNAcentral is "partial internal transcribed spacer region". The stretch from base 1 to 46 matches the Rfam family "Eukaryotic small subunit ribosomal RNA", at positions 1786 to 1831 of the family's 1831-position model. The record is from RNAcentral. Lineage: Eukaryota; Fungi; Ascomycota; Dothideomycetes; Pleosporales; Didymellaceae.
AAGUCGUAACAAGGUUUCCGUAGGUGAACCUGCGGAAGGAUCAUUACCUAGAGUUGUAGGCUUUGCCUACCAUCUCUUACCCAUGUCUUUUGAGUACCUUCGUUUCCUCGGUGGGUUCGCCCGCCGACUGGACAAAACUUAAACCCUUUGUAAUUGAAAUCAGCGUCUGAAAAAACUUAAUAGUUACAACUUUCAACAACGGAUCUCUUGGUUCUG